AUUUUAUCACCAUUACCCAGGAGCAUGGAAAGCAACUGUCACUGGAACAACCACUGCUGUUCUUCUGGCCAUUAUACUAUUCGUUGUCUUCCUAUUAAUAAUUAAAAGGUGGCCCUUCAAGCAAUCACCAGAGCCUGGAAAGAUAGUUGAGAACAGAAACGAGUGUCUUCCCACUCCGGGGCAGCCGGAGGACCAGGAUGACAUUCACUAUGCCAGUAUCAAGUUCUCCAGUAAUCAGACAGAUGCUAUUUACUCCAAUGUCGGACCAG
This is a long non-coding RNA of Scomber japonicus (chub mackerel), 269 nucleotides long. RefSeq lists it as uncharacterized. NCBI's taxonomy places the organism in Eukaryota, Metazoa, Chordata, Actinopteri, Scombriformes, Scombridae. The transcript has 3 exons. The record is from RefSeq and is a predicted model, not a curated record.